Molecule: ribosomal RNA, 373 nt
Filed under: uncultured organism
Description: partial 16S ribosomal RNA
Rfam family: Bacterial small subunit ribosomal RNA
Source: RNAcentral
GUAGGUGGCAAGCGUUGUCCGGAAUUAUUGGGCGUAAAGCGCGCGCAGGCGGUCCUUUAAGUCUGAUGUGAAAGCCCACGGCUCAACCGUGGAGGGUCAUUGGAAACUGGGGGACUUGAGUACAGAAGAGGAAAGCGGAAUUCCAAGUGUAGCAGUGAAAUGCGUAGAGAUUUGGAGGAACACCAGUGGCGAAGGCGGCUUUCUGGUCUGUAACUGACGCUGAGGCGCGAAAGCGUGGGGAGCAAACAGGAUUAGAUACCCUGGUAGUCCACGCCGUAAACGAUGAGUGCUAAGUGUUAGGGGGUUUCCCGCCCCCUUAGUGCUGCAGCUAACGCAUUAAGCACUCCGCCUGGGGAGUACGGCCGCAAGGCUG